RNAcentral lists this ribosomal RNA (440 nucleotides) under uncultured bacterium. RNAcentral's name for it is "partial 16S ribosomal RNA". It matches the Rfam family "Bacterial small subunit ribosomal RNA", at positions 338 to 795 of the family's 1533-position model. The record is from RNAcentral.
CCUACGGGAGGCAGCAGUGGGGAAUAUUGCUCAAUGGGGGCAACCCUGAUGCAGCGACGCCGCGUGAGUGAAGAAGUAAUUCGUUAUGUAAAGCUCUAUCAGCAGGGACGAAAAUGACGCUACCUGCGUAAGAAGCUCCGGCUAACUACGUGCCAGCAGCCGCGGUAAUACGUAGGGGGCAAGCGUUAUCCGGAUUUACUGGGUGUAAAGGGGGCGUAGACGGCAGUGCAAGUCUGGAGUGAAAGGCAUGGGCUCAACCCCCGGACUGCUCUGGAAACUGUACGGCUGGAGUGCAGGAGAGGUAAGUGGAAUUCCUAGUGUAGCGGUGAAAUGCGUAGAUAUUAGGAGGAACACCAGUGGCGAAGGCGGCUUACUGGACUGUAACUGACGUUGAGGCGCGAAAGCGUGGGGAGCAAACAGGAUUAGAUACCCGAGUAGUC